CAGUAGCCGCGGUAAUACGAAGGGGGCUAGCGUUGUUCGGAUUAACUGGGCGUAAAGGGCGCGUAGGCGGGUUUUUAAGUCAGAGGUGAAAUCCCAAGGCUCAACCUUGGAACUGCCUUUGAUACUGGAAGUCUUGAGUCCGGGAGAGGUGAGUGGAACUGCGAGUGUAGAGGUGAAAUUCGUAGAUAUUCGCAAGAACACCAGUGGCGAAGGCGGCUCACUGGCCCGGUACUGACGCUGAGGCGCGAAAGCGUGGGGAGCAAACAGGAUUAGAUACCCCUGUAGUCCCUGUCUCUUAUAC
Molecule: ribosomal RNA, 301 nt
Filed under: uncultured bacterium
Lineage: Bacteria
Description: partial 16S ribosomal RNA
Rfam family: Bacterial small subunit ribosomal RNA
Source: RNAcentral